RNAcentral lists this ribosomal RNA (497 nucleotides) under uncultured bacterium. Its description in RNAcentral is "partial 16S ribosomal RNA". It matches the Rfam family "Bacterial small subunit ribosomal RNA", at positions 28 to 507 of the family's 1533-position model. The record is from RNAcentral.
GAUGAACGCUGGCGGCGUGCCUAAUACAUGCAAGUCGAGCGAACAGACGAGGAGCUUGCUCCUUUGACGUUAGCGGCGGACGGGUGAGUAACACGUAGGUAACCUACCUAUAAGACUGGGAUAACUUCGGGAAACCGGAGCUAAUACCGGAUAAUAUUUCGAACCGCAUGGUUCGAUAGUGAAAGAUGGCUUUGCUAUCACUUAUAGAUGGACCUGCGCCGUAUUAGCUAGUUGGUAAGGUAACGGCUUACCAAGGCAACGAUACGUAGCCGACCUGAGAGGGUGAUCGCCCACCCAGAAACGGAGACAGGGCCCGGCCCCCAGCGGGAGGAGCAGGGGGGGAUUUUUCCGCACUGGCGAAAAGCCGAGCGGAGCAACGCCGCGGGAGGAAUGAGGGUUUUCGGGUCGAAAACCUCUGUUAUUGGGGAAGAAAAAACGUGAAAAUACCUGUGCACGUCUUGACGGUCCCUAAUCAAAAGACCCCGACAAACUCCGUG